AUGCACUUUUUACCCCGCAAAAAAAAAAAAACACGCACGCUACAUAUUACAAUGUUUAACAAAGCCCAUCAACAUCAUGCUCGACUCGUCGCUCAACCCCAAGCUCGGAGACUUCGGGUUGGCCCGGCCAUCGACCAUGGCGCCGGGUCAAUGCACACAACCAAGGCCGUGCUCAACACCAUCAGGUACAUCGACCCAGAGUUCAUCAACAGGCGCCGGCCUAGCACAAAGUCCGACAUGUACAGCUUCGGCGUCCUCCUCCUGAAGAUUGCCUCCGGUCGACGGCCGGUGAUCGAGACCGCGGAAAGGUCCUUCGCGCUGCUCAGCUGGGUGUGGGGCCUGUACGGGAGGGACGCCAUCGUUGAUGCGGCGGACGAGCGGUGGAUGGAGUGGGUGCUGGUCGUGGGGCUCUGGUGCGCACAGCCGGACCAGAGCGAGCGGCCGUCCGUGGCACAGGCCAUGCACGUCCAAAAGUCCGACGAGGCGAGGCUGCCGGCACUCCCGCUGCACAUGUAUAGAGCUGGACCGAGUUUGGUCGUCCGUCCCAUACGAGUUUUUCUCGGUCGAUAG
RNAcentral lists this ribosomal RNA (570 nucleotides) under Triticum aestivum (bread wheat). RNAcentral describes it as "partial small subunit ribosomal RNA". The record is from RNAcentral. Lineage: Eukaryota; Viridiplantae; Streptophyta; Magnoliopsida; Poales; Poaceae.